This 345-nucleotide unclassified non-coding RNA is filed under the name soil metagenome. RNAcentral's name for it is "partial contains 5.8S ribosomal RNA, internal transcribed spacer 2, and large subunit ribosomal RNA". The stretch from base 1 to 120 matches the Rfam family "5.8S ribosomal RNA", at positions 35 to 154 of the family's 154-position model. The record is from RNAcentral.
GAUGAAGAACGCAGCGAAAUGCGAUAAGUAAUGUGAAUUGCAGAAUUCAGUGAAUCAUCGAGUCUUUGAACGCACAUUGCGCCCCCUGGUAUUCCGGGGGGCAUGCCUGUCCGAGCGUCAUUGCUGCCCUCAAGCACGGCUUGUGUGUUGGGCCCCGUCCUCCGAUCCCGGGGGACGGGCCCGAAAGGCAGCGGCGGCACCGCGUCCGGUCCUCGAGCGUAUGGGGCUUUGUCACCCGCUCUGUAGGCCCGGCCGGCGCUUGCCGAUCAACCCAAAUUUUUAUCCAGGUUGACCUCGGAUCAGGUAGGGAUACCCGCUGAACUUAAGCAUACAAUAAGCGGAGGA